Mya arenaria is the source of this 292-nucleotide long non-coding RNA. RefSeq lists it as uncharacterized. The transcript is spliced from 3 exons. Lineage: Eukaryota; Metazoa; Mollusca; Bivalvia; Myida; Myidae. The record is from RefSeq and is a predicted model, not a curated record.
CGAAUCUCCAAACAUGAAGCUGUUCAUCGUUCUUCUUCUGGUUAGCUGCCUCUCUUUGACGCUGCUGCCAGCUACCGUUGAAGCCAUUCGUGGACUGGGCUGCCCGUGCAAGUACCGAUGUGAUAGAUGGGAGACCGAUAAGGGAAGCUGUGGAUACCUGAGGAGGUGCUGCUCAAGAGGCUGGAUCGGCUAAUGAGGCAAUGAAUAAGUAAACGAAAACAUCCUUACACAUAUAUCUACACGAUUUGUGUUUUGUUUGUGAUGAAAAUAAAGUUUCGUUGUGAAAAAUCUA